RNAcentral lists this ribosomal RNA (104 nucleotides) under Klebsiella variicola. Lineage: Bacteria; Pseudomonadati; Pseudomonadota; Gammaproteobacteria; Enterobacterales; Enterobacteriaceae. The record is from RNAcentral.
CCUGGCGGCACUAGCGCGGUGGUCCCACCUGACCCCAUGCCGAACUCAGAAGUGAAACGCCGUAGCGCCGAUGGUAGUGUGGGGAUGUGUAAGCGCAGCGAUGC